GACGUAGGGCGCGAGCGUUGUCCGGAUUUAUUGGGCGUAAAGAGCUCGUAGGCGGUUUGUCGCGUCGGCUGUGAAAACUCGGGGCUCAACCCCGAGCCUGCAGUCGAUACGGGCAGACUAGAGUGCUGUAGGGGAGACUGGAAUUCCUGGUGUAGCGGUGGAAUGCGCAGAUAGUCAGGAGGAACACCGAUGGCGAAGGCAGAUCUCUGGGCCCGUGAA
Molecule: ribosomal RNA, 219 nt
Filed under: uncultured bacterium
Lineage: Bacteria
Description: partial 16S ribosomal RNA
Rfam family: Bacterial small subunit ribosomal RNA
Source: RNAcentral